This 275-nucleotide ribosomal RNA is filed under the name uncultured bacterium. RNAcentral's name for it is "partial 16S ribosomal RNA". It matches the Rfam family "Bacterial small subunit ribosomal RNA", at positions 338 to 606 of the family's 1533-position model. The record is from RNAcentral.
CCUACGGGUGGCUGCAGUGGGGAAUAUUGGGCAAUGGGCGCAAGCCUGACCCAGCCACGCCGCGUGAGUGAUGAAGGCCUUCGGGUCGUAAAGCUCUGUGGGGAGAGACGAAGAAGUUGGAGUUAAUGGCUCCAGCGGUGACGGUAUCUCCUUAGCAAGCACCGGCUAACUCCGUGCCAGCAGCCGCGGUAAUACGGAGGGUGCAAACGUUGCUCGGAAUCAUUGGGCGUAAAGCGAGCGUAGGCGGCCUACUAAGUCGGGUGUGAAAGCCCUCG